Molecule: ribosomal RNA, 254 nt
Filed under: uncultured bacterium
Lineage: Bacteria
Description: partial 16S ribosomal RNA
Rfam family: Bacterial small subunit ribosomal RNA
Source: RNAcentral
UACGGGGGAUGCAAGCGUUAUCCGGAUUUAUUGGGUUUAAAGGGUGCGUAGGCUGUGAGGUAAGUCAGCGGUGAAAUGCCCCCGCUCAACGGGGUGAAGCGCCAUUGAUACUGCCUUGCUGGAAUGCGGAUGCCGUGGGAGGAAUGUGUGGUGUAGCGGUGAAAUGCAUAGAUAUCACACAGAACACCGAUUGCGAAGGCAUCUCACGAAUCCGCGAUUGACGCUGAUGCACGAAAGCGUGGGUAUCAAACAGG